This 74-nucleotide transfer RNA is filed under the name Marivibrio halodurans. RNAcentral's name for it is "tRNA-Cys". It matches the Rfam family "tRNA". Rfam says of the family: Transfer RNA (tRNA) molecules are approximately 80 nucleotides in length. Their secondary structure includes four short double-helical elements and three loops (D, anti-codon, and T loops). Further hydrogen bonds mediate the characteristic L-shaped molecular structure. tRNAs have two regions of fundamental functional importance: the anti-codon, which is responsible for specific mRNA codon recognition, and the 3' end, to which the tRNAs corresponding amino acid is attached (by aminoacyl-tRNA synthetases). tRNAs cope with the degeneracy of the genetic code in two manners: having more than one tRNA (with a specific anti-codon) for a particular amino acid; and 'wobble' base-pairing, i.e. permitting non-standard base-pairing at the 3rd anti-codon position. Lineage: Bacteria; Pseudomonadati; Pseudomonadota; Alphaproteobacteria; Rhodospirillales; Aestuariispiraceae. The record is from RNAcentral.
GGCGCGGUGGCGGAGUGGUUACGCAGCGGCCUGCAAAGCCGUCUACGCCGGUUCGAUUCCGGCCCGCGCCUCCA